Molecule: long non-coding RNA, 2223 nt
Organism: Papaver somniferum (opium poppy)
Lineage: Eukaryota; Viridiplantae; Streptophyta; Magnoliopsida; Ranunculales; Papaveraceae
Exons: 4
Source: RefSeq, a predicted model, not a curated record
UAAUACCUUUGGUCUUAUCACCUGCACUGGAUCGAGGAAUCAUUCAUUUCUUUUCUUCUUUCUUUCUUCUUCUUCUUCUUCUUCUUCUUCUUCUUCUUCUCCGUUCUGUCUCUGUUUCUCUGCUGCUGUUCAUCCGUGUGUAUCGAUUGAUAAAAUUGAUUGAUGUUGUUGUGAAGGUAAAGAGGGUGGAGGUGUUACUGUUAUGAAUUGGAAGAAGAAGGAGAUGAGGUUGUACAUCGUGAGAAAUUAUUAGGGUUCUUGUAAAUGAACUUGAGAUUUCGAUUGAGGAUAAAUAAGAAGAAGUUAGAAGAUAGGUUGUUCUUAAUAGAGGUUUGAUUGAAGCUUUGAAAUUGUUUUGAUGUUUGAAAUUUAGAGUUAGGGUUUCGUUUGAAAUUCAGAAGAAGAAGUGGAAGAUGAAAUUAAUGCUCAAGAGAAAAAUAGAAGAUGGGUUUUAAUUGAAGAUGUAAAGUGGUUCUGUUGAAAUAUCAGUGAAUUAGGGUUUUGGGUCUGAUCUUUGGGUUAUUUGAAAAUCAUGACGAUUAUCGAGUUGCUGAAGGAUGAAGAGCAACUGGGUCGUCGUUUAAUUGAAAUUCUAAUGUUAUUCUGAAGAAGAGUUGAGAUGUUAUUGAUUAUGUGUAGAAAUUAGUGUUUCUGGUUUUGUGUUUGAAUUCAAGAUGGGAAGUUGAGAAGAUGAAAUUGAAAGCAGAAUUGAAUCAAAGUAAAAUAGAACCAGAUUUCAAUUGGUCGAGCAAAUCUAAUAUGAGGUAAUUACUUUUAUGAAUUUCUUUGCAAAGUUGUUCAAUUUCGUUGGUUGAUCAUUUAGGAUUGUUAACAGAAUUAAGGAAUUAAAGAAGGGUUUUGCUGUGACUUGGGUGUUAUGAAUUGUUGGUGUUAAUGUUAAUUGAGAUGAUGCGAAUGAGUGUUGUUUGAGCUGUUAUCUGCUGGUACUAAUGGAAUGAAAUGAAAGAUGGAGUUGAAAAUGGUAGUCUUAUGUCUGUAUUGGCGAAUUGUGUUGGAAAAUAGAAAUAGGGUUGGACUUAUUGUGGUAAUGAUGUUGGAGUUUAUGGAAUUGGCUAUGGUGUCACUAAAAUGGAUGUGUAUUAAGUGAAUCACAUUUGAAUCAAUGAGAUGUUGGUUUGUUCUUGGUGUGGUAUUGAGCUGUUGUUGUUAUGAUUUGGAAAUGGUUAUGGAAUGGAAUGUGUGUGGAUGAUGGCUAGGUGCUGUUGGUAAAUUGCAGGAAGAAUUGUUGAGCUGAACUCAGUCGAAAUAGUAUGUGAUUGGUGUAAAACUCUUGGAGUUGGUUUGUGCUGUUAAGAUGUAUAGGCUGAGUUGGUUGUAAUGCUGUCAUAGCAAAGAGUUUCGUAAAAGCCUGCGAUUGCCGAUUAAGUGAUUUUUAUUAACAACAAUCGAUUCAAAGGAUGAACCGGUGGAUCAUGGAUCUCGAGGUGUGCGUGGCUUGUCAUCAAAAGAGUUUCAGAGACAUAUCAAAGUUGCGCAGCGAAAACAUCAAACAUUCAGUUCAUUAAUUGGUUAACUUCUUCUAUGUUAUGUCGUAUAUUUUAUUUGUAAACCAAAUGUCUAUUGUAUAUGUAUCAUUUGAGAGGAGUUCAUGUAUAUAUUUUAGAGAGGGGAUAGUUUUUGGGUUAAGUGUCGUAACAAAUUUCUUAAUUGAACGUUUAAGUAAGUGUUUUAGAUCCUUAUUGCCUCUUUAUUUUGUUAAUCUCUUGGAUUAGUCGGCUGCUAGUCUUGGGGGCGUUACAGACUUCACAACUUACAACUGAAGACGAAGAUCUACUGAAAAACUCGAAGGAACUUCAUCAACAAAAGGAGGUUCAGGUUGGUGAUCCUGCCCAGAAGAUGCAGAAUCUAGGGCAUGCAGAGAAGCUGUCAGAUGGACUAGAGAAUGUGGUAUAGAAAAUGUGGUCUUUUUAAAUGAUAAUAAAAAUGUCAUCGGUAGUAUGAAGGAUGAGAACCAUUUUGCGGUCAAUUGGAGAUCAAAGUCCAUUUUGCAUCAGGCCAUUCAGCAAAACCAAUUUCUUGCUAGUUCUUAUUUCUUUUACAUUAAAAGGGAUUGUAACAAGUUAGCUGAUAAGUUAACAAAAUUCCUUAUAAAAUUCACGGACUGUAAAAUCGAUUCUAGAUACUGGGAUAUAUCUAGAAAAGAUAUAUGGCUAGAUAAGCUAUGUAACAAAAACUUUGUUCUUUCUUUUACGUAGUGGUAUA